RNAcentral lists this ribosomal RNA (494 nucleotides) under uncultured bacterium. RNAcentral describes it as "partial 16S ribosomal RNA". It matches the Rfam family "Bacterial small subunit ribosomal RNA", at positions 28 to 507 of the family's 1533-position model. The record is from RNAcentral.
GACGAACGCUGGCGGCGUGCUUAACACAUGCAAGUCGAACGGUGAAGCGCCUUCCUUUUUGGUGGGUGUGGAUGAGUGGCGAACGGGUGAGUAACACGUGAGUAACCUGCCCCCUUCUUCUGGAUAACCGCAUGAAAGUGUGGCUAAUACGGGAUAUUCUGGGUCUGUCGCAUGAUGGGUCUGGGAAAGAUAUUGUUUCGGUGGGGGAUGGGCUCGCGACCUAUCAGCUUGUUGGUGGGGUGAUGGCCUACCAAGGCGGUGACGGGUAGCCGGCCUGAGAGGGUGGACGGUCACACUGGGACUGAGACACGGCCCAGACUCCUACGGGAGGCAGCAGUGGGGAAUAUUGCACAAUGGGCGCAAGCCUGAUGCAGCGACGCCGCGUGAGGGAUGGAGGCCUUCGGGUUGUGAACCUCUUUCGCCAGUGAAGCAGGCCUGCCUCGUUUGUGGGUGGGUUGACGGUAGCUGGAUAAGAAGCGCCGGCUAACUACGUG